This 494-nucleotide ribosomal RNA is filed under the name uncultured bacterium. RNAcentral describes it as "partial 16S ribosomal RNA". It matches the Rfam family "Bacterial small subunit ribosomal RNA", at positions 28 to 507 of the family's 1533-position model. The record is from RNAcentral.
GACGAACGCUGGCGGCGCGCUUAACACAUGCAAGUCGAACGGAAAGGCCUGCUUUCCCUUGUGGAUUGCGGGUACUCGAGUGGCGAACGGGUGAGUAACACGUGAGUGAUCUGCCCCCAACUUGGGUAUAAGCCUGGGAAACUGGGUCUAAUUCCCGAUAGGACUGCAGGGUGGUGCCUGUGGUGGAAAACGAUUUUCUAGUGGUUGGGGAUGAGCUCGCGGCCUAUCAGCUUGUUGGUGGGGUAAUGGCCUACCAAGGCGGCGACGGGUAGCCGGCCUGGGAGGGUGGACGGCCACAUUGGGACUGAGAUACGGCCCAGACUCCUACGGGAGGCAGCAGUGGGGAAUAUUGCACAAUGGGCGGAAGCCUGAUGCAGCGACGCCGCGUGGGGGAUUACGGCCUUCGGGUUGUAAACUCCUUUCGACCGCGAGGAAGCCACCUGGUUGGAAGGGUGGUGACGGUAGUGGUAGAAGAAGCACCGGCUAACUACGUG